This 192-nucleotide non-coding RNA is filed under the name Tumebacillus algifaecis. The record is from RNAcentral. Lineage: Bacteria; Bacillati; Bacillota; Bacilli; Caryophanales; Alicyclobacillaceae.
UGCAUAAGUCGGCAGUAAGGUGCCCUCGCACAUAGCACGAGGGGUAACAGGGAAUCGGGUGCAAAUCCCGAGCGGUCCCGCCACUGUAACCGGGGAGCUAUCUCUCAGCAAUGUCACUCAAUCCACGUUGGGGAAGACGAGAGAACGCGAUGAUUCGGAAGCCAGGAGACCUACCUUGCUCGCUACACCAAG